Molecule: long non-coding RNA, 366 nt
Organism: Clupea harengus (Atlantic herring)
Lineage: Eukaryota; Metazoa; Chordata; Actinopteri; Clupeiformes; Clupeidae
Source: Ensembl
GUAACUUUACUCCUGUUAUAAAUGUGAAGUAAGUAAAAACAACAUAUUUAGUAAAUAUUUGAGAAACAUAAACUGAUUAGGACACUGGAAAUGGUCCGAGGGCAAUCCACUAACCUCUCUCUCCUAUCAGGCCCAUUGCCACUGACUGACAUGAAGGUGUGUGUGUGUGUGUGUACCUCUCUGUGAUAGUGUGUGUGUGUGUGUGUGUGUGUACCUCUCUGUGAUGGUGUGUGUGUGUGUGUGUGUGUGUGUGUGUGUGUGUGUGUGUGUACCUCUCUGUGAUAGUGUGUGUGUGUGUACCUCUCUGUGAUGGUGUGUGUGUGUGUGUGUGUGUGUGUACCUCUCUGUGAUAGGAGAGAGAGGUAC